GGAGGUUUUAGCUUAAUUAAAGUGUCUGGUUUGCAGUCAGAGGAUGUAGUUUAUAGGAUUACAAAUCUU
RNAcentral lists this transfer RNA (69 nucleotides) under Hemiphyllodactylus yunnanensis (Yunnan dwarf gecko). RNAcentral describes it as "tRNA-Ala". The record is from RNAcentral. RNAcentral also lists the same sequence under 1 other name. Lineage: Eukaryota; Metazoa; Chordata; Lepidosauria; Squamata; Gekkonidae.